UACUUAAUAGGAUACACUCAUAAUUUCAAAAGAGAGAAAAAUUUUGCUUGCUCAUAUUCCAUACCAAUACUUCAUACAUUGCACAGAAUAUUAAAUGAUUCACAAAAAAUUUAAUAAUUAAUAUCAUAAAAUAAAAUAAAAUAUAAUAUAUAUAAUAUAAAAUUAUUUAAAUAAUUUAUUGUAUUAUAAAAAUUUAUAUUUUAUGUAUAUAUUAGUUUAAAAUUUUUAUUGAUAUGUAGUAGUAAA
Molecule: long non-coding RNA, 246 nt
Filed under: Ananas comosus (pineapple)
Lineage: Eukaryota; Viridiplantae; Streptophyta; Magnoliopsida; Poales; Bromeliaceae
Description: long non-coding RNA (ACOM_LNC035869)
Source: RNAcentral